CACUCCUGCACGGGAGAGUCCCCGGAUCUCGUGGGUCAUCGCGAGGGGCGGGGCGCCGAAGGGGCAAUUCCUCCCCGGAACCUCUCAGGCCACCGGACCGUGCGGGUCAG
This 110-nucleotide non-coding RNA is filed under the name Nocardioides sp. RNAcentral describes it as "Glycine sequence". It matches the Rfam family "Glycine riboswitch aptamer". Rfam says of the family: This family represents the bacterial glycine riboswitch. Glycine riboswitches usually consist of two metabolite-binding aptamers domains with similar structures in tandem. Lineage: Bacteria; Bacillati; Actinomycetota; Actinomycetes; Propionibacteriales; Nocardioidaceae. The record is from RNAcentral. RNAcentral also lists the same sequence under 1 other name.